Molecule: ribosomal RNA, 1410 nt
Filed under: Salmonella enterica
Lineage: Bacteria; Pseudomonadati; Pseudomonadota; Gammaproteobacteria; Enterobacterales; Enterobacteriaceae
Description: partial 23S ribosomal RNA
Rfam family: Bacterial large subunit ribosomal RNA
Source: RNAcentral
UCCGGUUCACUUUAACACUGAGGCGUGAUGACGAGGCACUACGGUGCUGAAGCAACAAAUGCCCUGCUUCCAGGAAAAGCCUCUAAGCAUCAGGUAACAUCAAAUCGUACCCCAAACCGACACAGGUGGUCAGGUAGAGAAUACCAAGGCGCUUGAGAGAACUCGGGUGAAGGAACUAGGCAAAAUGGUGCCGUAACUUCGGGAGAAGGCACGCUGACACGUAGGUGAAGUGAUUUACUCAUGGAGCUGAAGUCAGUCGAAGAUACCAGCUGGCUGCAACUGUUUAUUAAAAACACAGCACUGUGCAAACACGAAAGUGGACGUAUACGGUGUGACGCCUGCCCGGUGCCGGAAGGUUAAUUGAUGGGGUCAGCGCAAGCGAAGCUCCUGAUCGAAGCCCCGGUAAACGGCGGCCGUAACUAUAACGGUCCUAAGGUAGCGAAAUUCCUUGUCGGGUAAGUUCCGACCUGCACGAAUGGCGUAAUGAUGGCCAGGCUGUCUCCACCCGAGACUCAGUGAAAUUGAACUCGCUGUGAAGAUGCAGUGUACCCGCGGCAAGACGGAAAGACCCCGUGAACCUUUACUAUAGCUUGACACUGAACAUUGAGCCUUGAUGUGUAGGAUAGGUGGGAGGCUUUGAAGUGUGGACGCCAGUCUGCAUGGAGCCGGCCUUGAAAUACCACCCUUUAAUGUUUGAUGUUCUAACGUGGACCCGUGAUCCGGGUUGCGGACAGUGUCUGGUGGGUAGUUUGACUGGGGCGGUCUCCUCCUAAAGAGUAACGGAGGAGCACGAAGGUUGGCUAAUCCUGGUCGGACAUCAGGAGGUUAGUGCAAUGGCAUAAGCCAGCUUGACUGCGAGCGUGACGGCGCGAGCAGGUGCGAAAGCAGGUCAUAGUGAUCCGGUGGUUCUGAAUGGAAGGGCCAUCGCUCAACGGAUAAAAGGUACUCCGGGGAUAACAGGCUGAUACCGCCCAAGAGUUCAUAUCGACGGCGGUGUUUGGCACCUCGAUGUCGGCUCAUCACAUCCUGGGGCUGAAGUAGGUCCCAAGGGUAUGGCUGUUCGCCAUUUAAAGUGGUACGCGAGCUGGGUUUAGAACGUCGUGAGACAGUUCGGUCCCUAUCUGCCGUGGGCGCUGGAGAACUGAGGGGGGCUGCUCCUAGUACGAGAGGACCGGAGUGGACGCAUCACUGGUGUUCGGGUUGUCAUGCCAAUGGCACUGCCCGGUAGCUAAAUGCGGAAGAGAUAAGUGCUGAAAGCAUCUAAGCACGAAACUUGCCCCGAGAUGAGUUCUCCCUGAGACUUUAGGUCUCCUGAAGGAACGUUGAAGACGACGACGUUGAUAGGCCGGGUGUGUAAGCGCAGCGAUGCGUUGAGCUAACCGGUACUAAUGAACCGUGAGGCUUAACCUU